ACCUACGGGGGGCAGCAGUAGGGAAUCUUCCACAAUGGGCGAAAGCCUGAUGGAGUAACGCCGCGUGGGUGAAGAAGGUCUUCGGAUCGUAAAACCCUGUUGUUAGAGAAGAAAGUGCGUGAGAGUAACUGUUCACGUUUCGACGGUAUCUAACCAGAAAGCCACGGCUAACUACGUGCCAGCAGCCGCGGUAAUACGUAGGUGGCAAGCGUUAUCCGGAUUUAUUGGGCGUAAAGGGAACGCAGGCGGUCUUUUAUGUCUGAUGUGAAAGCCUUCGGCUUAACCGGAGUAGUGCAUUGGAAACU
Molecule: ribosomal RNA, 305 nt
Filed under: uncultured bacterium
Lineage: Bacteria
Description: bacterial SSU rRNA
Rfam family: Bacterial small subunit ribosomal RNA
Source: RNAcentral